RNAcentral lists this ribosomal RNA (926 nucleotides) under uncultured organism. Its description in RNAcentral is "bacterial SSU rRNA". It matches the Rfam family "Bacterial small subunit ribosomal RNA", at positions 1 to 917 of the family's 1533-position model. The record is from RNAcentral.
UGGAUCCAGACUUUGAUUAUGGCUCAGGAUGAACGCUAGCUACAGGCUUAACACAUGCAAGUCGAGGGGAAACGACAUCGAAAGCUUGCUUUUGAUGGGCGUCGACCGGCGCACGGGUGAGUAACGCGUAUCCAACCUGCCCAUCACUUGGGGAUAACUUUGCGAAAGUAAGACUAAUACCCAAUGACGUCUCUAGAAGACAUCUGAAAGAGAUUAAAGAUUUAUCGGUGAUGGAUGGGGAUGCGUCUGAUUAGCUUGUUGGCGGGGUAACGGCCCACCAAGGCGACGAUCAGUAGGGGUUCUGAGAGGAAGGUCCCCCACAUUGGAACUGAGACACGGUCCAAACUCCUACGGGAGGCAGCAGUGAGGAAUAUUGGUCAAUGGGCGAGAGCCUGAACCAGCCAAGUAGCGUGCAGGAAGACGGCCCUAUGGGUUGUAAACUGCUUUUAUAAGGGAAUAAAGUGAGUCUCGUGAGACUUUUUGCAUGUACCUUAUGAAUAAGGACCGGCUAAUUCCGUGCCAGCAGCCGCGGUAAUACGGAAGGUCCGGGCGUUAUCCGGAUUUAUUGGGUUUAAAGGGAGCGUAGGCCGGAGAUUAAGCGUGUUGUGAAAUGUAGACGCUCAACGUCUGCACUGCAGCGCGAACUGGUUUCCUUGAGUACGCACAAAGUGGGCGGAAUUCGUGGUGUAGCGGUGAAAUGCUUAGAUAUCACGAAGAACUCCGAUUGCGAAGGCAGCUCACUGGAGCGCAACUGACGCUGAAGCUCGAAAGUGCGGGUAUCGAACAGGAUUAGAUACCCUGGUAGUCCGCACGGUAAACGAUGGAUGCCCGCUGUUGGUCUGAAUAGGUCAGCGGCCAAGCGAAAGCAUUAAGCAUCCCACCUGGGGAGUACGCCGGCAACGGUGCAACUCAAAGGAAUUGACGGA